CAACGAGUCGACACCAGUUUUAGUUUCUUAAUAUUUAAAACACCACAUGGAAGAAAGGCCCACUUCAAAACAGUGCAAAAAAGAGUUCACAUACACACACACACACGCACGCAUAUGAAUGAACGAAUAAAUGAAUGAAUUAAUGAAGCAGCAGCAGAAAUGCAAAAAAUGUGUCAUGCGCAGAACCAAGUGCGGCAACAGAGUUCGGAAACACCCAAUUUUCCAACAGACUAAUAGUGAGACAAAUGUGUUGAAAUUGUAAAGCACCAAUCAUCAUCAUCUGCAUCAUCAUCAAUAUUAUUUUUCUGCAUGGAAAUAAUAAUUCAAGUGCGAGUGGUCAUGAAUCCACACUUCUUCUUCUUCUCAGCAAAGGAUGAUGCCCUGGCUGCUCCUCCUCCUCUUCCUCCUCC
This 410-nucleotide long non-coding RNA is filed under the name Physcomitrium patens. RNAcentral describes it as "long non-coding RNA (PPAT_LNC006451)". Lineage: Eukaryota; Viridiplantae; Streptophyta; Bryopsida; Funariales; Funariaceae. The record is from RNAcentral.